This 466-nucleotide ribosomal RNA is filed under the name uncultured bacterium. RNAcentral describes it as "partial 16S ribosomal RNA". It matches the Rfam family "Bacterial small subunit ribosomal RNA", at positions 28 to 507 of the family's 1533-position model. The record is from RNAcentral.
GAUGAACGCUGGCGGCGUGCUUAACACAUGCAAGUCGAACGAUGAAGCCCAGCUUGCUGGGUUGAUUAGUGGCGAACGGGUGAGUAACACGUGAGUAACCUGCCCUUGACUCUGGGAUAAGCCUGGGAAACUUGGUCUAAUACUUGAUAUGUCUUCUCAUCGCAUGGUGGGUGGUGGAAUGAUUUAUUGGUCUUGGAUGGACUCUCGGCCUAUCCGCUUGUUGGUGAGUUAAUGGCUCACCAAGGCGACGACGGGUAGCCGGCCUGAGAGGGUGACCGGCCACACUGGGACUGAGAGACGGCCAAGACUCCUACGGGAGGCAGCAGGGGGGAAUAUUGCACAAUGGGCGCAAGCCUGAUGCAGAGACGCCGCGUGAGGGAUGACGGACUUCGGGUUGUAAACCUCUUUCAGUAGGGAAAAAGCGAGAGUGACGGUACAUGCAGAAGAAGCGCCGGCUAACUACGUG